UCUCCGUUGGUGAACCAGCGGAGGGAUCAUUACAGAGCUGCAAAACUCCCAAACCAUUGUGAACGUUACCUAUCCCGUUGCUUCGGCGGGCGGCCCGGGCCCCGCGCCCGGCGCCCCCCGGCCCCCCGUGGGCGCCCGCCGGAGGUAAACCAAACCCUUGAAUUGCCUGGCCUCUCUGAGUCUUCUGUACUGAAUAAGUCAAAACUUUCAACAACGGAUCUCUUGGUUCUG
This 231-nucleotide unclassified non-coding RNA is filed under the name plant metagenome. RNAcentral's name for it is "partial contains small subunit ribosomal RNA, internal transcribed spacer 1, and 5.8S ribosomal RNA". The record is from RNAcentral.